RNAcentral lists this ribosomal RNA (231 nucleotides) under Schmidingerella taraikaensis. Its description in RNAcentral is "partial Trypanosomatid mitochondrial large subunit ribosomal RNA". The record is from RNAcentral. Lineage: Eukaryota; Ciliophora; Spirotrichea; Tintinnida; Rhabdonellidae.
CGUUCCCAACAAACUUUUCAAAGUGAAGCAAACGCAAUGAUGAAAGAAAAAAGUGGAAAUUUCAGGAACUAUUUCAACCUAAAACACAUUCAAGAUUGCUGCUCCUGCGCAGACCAAUAUCAUUUUAUCCUGUAACCUGCUUGCUUGUUUGUCUGCCAGAGAGUUAGUGAGUGGGAGCUUAGUCGAUAAAUUAAGAAAUUAUUUGCCUCAAAGUUUAUUUAUUUUAAUUAU